RNAcentral lists this ribosomal RNA (510 nucleotides) under uncultured bacterium. Its description in RNAcentral is "partial 16S ribosomal RNA". It matches the Rfam family "Bacterial small subunit ribosomal RNA", at positions 28 to 507 of the family's 1533-position model. The record is from RNAcentral.
GACGAACGCUGGCGGCGUGCUUAACACAUGCAAGUCGAACGAAGAGCGAUGGAAGCUUGCUUCUAUCAAUCUUAGUGGCGAACGGGUGAGUAACGCGUAAUCAACCUGCCCUUCAGAGGGGGACAACAGUUGGAAACGACUGCUAAUACCGCAUACGAUCUAAACUCGGCAUCGAGGAUAGAUGAAAGGUGGCCUCUACAUGUAAGCUAUCACUGAAGGAGGGGAUUGCGUCUGAUUAGCUAGUUGGAGGGGUAACGGCCCACCAAGGCGAUGAUCAGUAGCCGGUCUGAGAGGAUGAACGGCCACAUUGGGACUGGGACACGGCCCAGACUCCUACGGGAGGCAGCAGUGGGGAAUCUUCCGCAAUGGACGAAAGUCUGACGGAGCAACGCCGCGUGAGUGAUGACGGCCUUCGGGUUGUAAAGCUCUGUUAAUCGGGACGAAAGGCCUUCUUGCGAAUAGGGAGAAGGAUUGACGGUACCGGAAUAGAAAGCCACGGCUAACUACGUG